AUUCCGGUUGAUCCUGCCGGAGGUCAUUGCUAUUGGGGUCCGAUUUAGCCAUGCUAGUUGCACGAGUUUAGACUCGUGGCGAAAAGCUCAGUAACACGUGGUCAAACUACCCUACGAAGACCCAUAACCUCGGGAAACUGAGGCUAAUAGGUCAUAGGAGAGUCACGCUGGAAUGCCGACUCUCCCAAACGCUCAGGCGUCGUAGGAUGUGGCUGCGGCCGAUUAGGUAGACGGUGGGGUAACGGCCCACCGUGCCGAUAAUCGGUACGGGUUGUGAGAGCAAGAGCCCGGAGACGGAAUCUGAGACAAGAUUCCGGGCCCUACGGGGCGCAGCAGGCGCGAAACCUUUACACUGCACGCAAGUGCGAUAAGGGGACCCCAAGUGCGAGGGCAUAUAGUCCUCGCUUUUUCCGACCGUAAGGUGGUCGGCGAAUAAGGGCUGGGCAAGACCGGUAGCCAGCCGCCGCGGUAAUACCGGCAGCCCAAGUGAGACCGAUAUUAUUGGGCCUAAAGCGUCCGUAGCCGGCCACGAAGGUUCAUCGGGAAAUCCGCCAGCUUAACUGGCGGGCGUCCGGUGAAAACCACGUGGCUUGGGACCGGAAGGCUCGAGGGGUACGUCCGGGGUAGGAGUGAAAUCCCGUAAUCCUGGACGGACCACCGAUGGCGAAAGCAACCUCGAGAAGACGGAUCCGACGGUGAGGACGAAAGCUAGGGUCUCGAACCGGAUUAGAUACCCGGGUAGUCCUAGCUGUAAACGAUGCUCGCUAGGUGUGGCACAGGCUACGAGCCUGUGCUGUGCCGUAGGGAAAGCCGAGAAGCGAGCCGCCUGGGAAGUACGUCGCAAGGAUGAAACUUAAAGGAAUUGGCGGGGGAGCACUACAACCGGAGGAGCCUGCGGUUUAAUUGGACUCAACGCCGGACAUCUCACCAGCUCCGACUAUAGUAAUGACGGCCAGGUUGAUGACCUUGCCACGACGCUAUAGAGAGGAGGUGCAUGGCCGCCGUCAGCUCGUA
Molecule: ribosomal RNA, 1014 nt
Filed under: Haloferax larsenii
Lineage: Archaea; Methanobacteriati; Methanobacteriota; Halobacteria; Halobacteriales; Haloferacaceae
Description: bacterial SSU rRNA
Rfam family: Archaeal small subunit ribosomal RNA
Source: RNAcentral